AACGGCCAUAUUAUGCUGAAUAUGCCGGUUCUCGUUAGAUCACCGAAGUCAAGCAUCAUUGGGCGCUGUCAGUACUUGGGUGAGUGACCAUAUGGGAACACCGCGUGCCGUU
Caerostris extrusa is the source of this 112-nucleotide non-coding RNA. The record is from the annotation of a GenBank genome assembly. Lineage: Eukaryota; Metazoa; Arthropoda; Arachnida; Araneae; Araneidae.